UGACCUCAAAUCAGGUAGGACUACCCGCUGAACUUAAGCAUAUCAAUAAGCGGAGGAAAAGAAACUAACAAGGAUUCCCCUAGUAACUGCGAGUGAAGCGGGAAAAGCUCAAAUUUAAAAUCUGUCAGUCUUUGGCUGUCCGAGUUGUAAUCUAGAGAAGUGUUAUCCGCGCUGGACCGUGUACAAGUCUCCUGGAAUGGAGCGUCAUAGAGGGUGAGAAUCCCGUCUUUGACACGGACUGCCAGGGCUUUUGUGAUGCGCUCUCAAAGAGUCGAGUUGUUUGGGAAUGCAGCUCAAAAUGGGUGGUAAAUUCCAUCUAAAGCUAAAUAUUGGCGAGAGACCGAUAGCGAACAAGUACCGUGAGGGAAAGAUGAAAAGAACUUUGGAAAGAGAGUUAAACAGUACGUGAAAUUGCUGAAAGGGAAACGCUUGAAGUCAGUCGCGUCAUUCAGGGAUCAACCUUGCUUUUGCUUGGUGUACUUUCUGGUUGACGGGUCAGCAUCAAUUUUGACCAUUGGAAAAAGAUUAAGGGAAUGUGGCAUACAUAGUGAUGUGUUAUAGCCCUUGGUUGCAUACAAUGGUUGGGAUUGAGGAACUCAGCACGCCGCAAGGCCGGGUUUUUAUCUAACCACGU
This 634-nucleotide ribosomal RNA is filed under the name Cortinarius collinitus. Its description in RNAcentral is "eukaryotic LSU rRNA". It matches the Rfam family "Eukaryotic large subunit ribosomal RNA", at positions 1 to 620 of the family's 3401-position model. Lineage: Eukaryota; Fungi; Basidiomycota; Agaricomycetes; Agaricales; Cortinariaceae. The record is from RNAcentral.